GUGGAAAGGCCCAGACAGCCAGGAGGUUGGCUUAGAAGCAGCCACCCUUUAAAGAAAGCGUAAUAGCUCACUGGUCGAGUCGGUCUGCGCGGAAGAUGUAACGGGGCUCAAACCAUACACCGAAGCUGCGGAUUCAGUACAGUUUACUGUGCUGGGUGGUAGAGGAGCGUUCUGUAAGCCGAUGAAGGUCAAGCUGAAAGGCAGGCUGGAGGUAUCAGAAGUGCGAAUGCUGACAUGAGUAACGAUAAAGGGGGUGAGAAGCCCCCUCGCCGGAAGACCAAGGGUUCCUGCGCAACGCUAAUCGGCGCAGGGUGAGUCGGCCCCUAAGGUGAGGUCGAAAGACGUAAUCGAUGGGAAACGGGUUAAUAUUCCCGUACCGGUUGUAACUGCGAUGGAGUGACGGAGAAGGGUAGGCCGGCCUGGCGAUGGUUGUCCAGGUUUAAGGCAGUAGGCAGUGGGACCAGGCAAAUCCGGUUUCAUAAUGCUGAGAGCUGAUGACGAGGUCACUAAGGUGACUGAAGUGGUUGAUCCCAUGCUUCCAGGAAAAACUUCUAAGCGUCAGGUUACAAACGACCGUACCCCAAACCGACACAGGUGGUCAGGUAGAGAAUACCAAGGCGCUUGAGAGAACUCGGGUGAAGGAACUAGGCAAAAUGGCACCGUAACUUCGGGAGAAGGUGCGCCGCUGAUGGUGAUGGGACUUGCUCCUUAAGCUGUCGGCGGUCGAAGAUACCAGGUGGCUGCGACUGUUUAUCAAAAACAUAGCACUCUGCAAACACGUAAGUGGAAGUAUAGGGUGUGACCCCUGCCCGGUGCCGGAAGGUUAAUUGAUGGGGUUAGUUUUCGGACGAAGCUCUUGAUCGAAGCCCCGGUGAACGGCGGCCGUAACUAUAACGGUCCUAAGGUAGCGAAAUUCCUUGUCGGGUAAGUUCCGACCUGCACGAAUGGCGUAACGAUGGCCACACUGUCUCCACCCGAGACUCAGUGAAAUUGAAUUUGCUGUGAAGAUGCAGUGUACCCGCGGCUAGACGGAAAGACCCCGUGCACCUUUACUACAGCUUUGCACUGAACUUUGAACUUAUUUGUGUAGGAUAGGUGGGAGACUUUGAAACGCAGGCGCUAGCUUGCGUGGAGUCACCCUUGAAAUACCACCCUGGUAAGUUUGAGGUUCUAACCUUGGUCCGUUAUCCGGAUUAGGGACAGUGUAUGGUGGGUAGUUUGACUGGGGCGGUCUCCUCCCAAAGAGUAACGGAGGAGCACGAAGGUACUCUCGGCAUGGUCGGAAAUCAUGCUAUGAGUGUAAAGGCAUAAGAGUGCUUGACUGCGAGAUUGACGAAUCGAGCAGGUGGGAAACCAGGUCUUAGUGAUCCGGUGGCACUGCAUGGU
Molecule: ribosomal RNA, 1386 nt
Filed under: Elysia cornigera
Lineage: Eukaryota; Metazoa; Mollusca; Gastropoda; Plakobranchidae
Description: bacterial LSU rRNA
Rfam family: Bacterial large subunit ribosomal RNA
Source: RNAcentral